UACGUAGGGGGCUAGCGUUGUCCGGAAUCAUUGGGCGUAAAGAGCGUGUAGGCGGCCCGGUAAGUCCGCUGUAAAAGUCAAAGGCUCAACCUUUGAAUGUCAGUGGAUACUGCCGGGCUAGAGUCCGGAAGAGGCGAGUGGAACUCCUGGUGUAGCGGUGGAAUGCGCAGAUAUCAGGAAGAACACCAACGGCGAAGGCAACUCGCUGGGACGGUACUGACGCUGAGACGCGAAAGCGUGGGGAGCGAACAGG
RNAcentral lists this ribosomal RNA (253 nucleotides) under uncultured bacterium. RNAcentral describes it as "partial 16S ribosomal RNA". It matches the Rfam family "Bacterial small subunit ribosomal RNA", at positions 524 to 776 of the family's 1533-position model. The record is from RNAcentral.